This 497-nucleotide ribosomal RNA is filed under the name uncultured bacterium. RNAcentral's name for it is "partial 16S ribosomal RNA". It matches the Rfam family "Bacterial small subunit ribosomal RNA", at positions 28 to 507 of the family's 1533-position model. The record is from RNAcentral.
GAUGAACGCUGGCGGCGUGCCUAAUACAUGCAAGUCGAGCGAACAGACGAGGAGCUUGCUCCUCUGACGUUAGCGGCGGACGGGUGAGUAACACGUGGAUAACCUACCUAUAAGACUGGGAUAACUUCGGGAAACCGGAGCUAAUACCGGAUAAUAUAUUGAACCGCAUGGGUCAAUAGUGAAAGACGGUUUUGCUGUCACUUAUAGAUGGAUCCGCGCCGCAUUAGCUAGUUGGGAAGGUAACGGCUUACCAAGGCAACGAUGCGUAGCCGACCUGAGAGGGUGGUAGGCCACACGGGAACUGAGACACGGUCCAGACUCCUACGGGAGGCAGCAGUAGGGAAUCUUCCGCAAUGGGCGAAAGCCUGACGGAGCAACGCGGCGUGAGUGAUGAAGGUCUUCGGAUCGUAAAGCUCUGUUAUUAGGGAAGAACAAAUGUGUAAGUAACUAUGCACGUAUUGACGGUACCUAAUCAGAAAGCCACGGCUAACUACGUG